UAACCUGCUAAAUAGCCCGGUCAGCUUUGGCUGGCCGCCGGCUUCUUAGAGGGACUAUCGGCUCAAGCCGAUGGAAGUUUGAGGCAAAAACAGGUCUGUGAUGCCCUUAGAUGUCCUGGGCCGCACGCGCGUUACACUGACAGAGACAACGAGUUCAUCACCUUGGCCGAAAGGUCCGGGUAAUCUUGUUAAACCCUGUCGUGCUGGGGAUAGAGCAUUGCAAUUAUUGCUCUUCAACGAGGAAUGCCUAGUAAGCGCAAGUCAUCAGCUUGCGUUGAUUACGUCCCUGCCCUUUGUACACACCGCCCGUCGCU
RNAcentral lists this ribosomal RNA (314 nucleotides) under uncultured fungus. Its description in RNAcentral is "SSU rRNA". It matches the Rfam family "Eukaryotic small subunit ribosomal RNA", at positions 1344 to 1680 of the family's 1831-position model. The record is from RNAcentral. Lineage: Eukaryota; Fungi.